RNAcentral lists this ribosomal RNA (1184 nucleotides) under Kocuria sp. Its description in RNAcentral is "bacterial SSU rRNA". It matches the Rfam family "Bacterial small subunit ribosomal RNA", at positions 139 to 1333 of the family's 1533-position model. Lineage: Bacteria; Bacillati; Actinomycetota; Actinomycetes; Micrococcales; Micrococcaceae. The record is from RNAcentral.
UGGGAUAAGCCCGGGAAACUGGGUCUAAUACUGGAUGCUACAUGUCACCGCAUGGUGGUGUGUGGAAAGGGUUUACUGGUCUUGGAUGGGCUCACGGCCUAUCAGCUUGUUGGUGAGGUAAUGGCUCACCAAGGCGACGACGGGUAGCCGGCCUGAGAGGGUGACCGGCCACACUGGGACUGAGACACGGCCCAGACUCCUACGGGAGGCAGCAGUGGGGAAUAUUGCACAAUGGGCGAAAGCCUGAUGCAGCGACGCCGCGUGAGGGAUGACGGCCUUCGGGUUGUAAACCUCUUUCAGCAGGGAAGAAGCCACAAGUGACGGUACCUGCAGAAGAAGCGCCGGCUAACUACGUGCCAGCAGCCGCGGUAAUACGUAGGGCGCAAGCGUUGUCCGGAAUUAUUGGGCGUAAAGAGCUCGUAGGCGGUUUGUCGCGUCUGCUGUGAAAGCCCGGGGCUUAACCCCGGGUGUGCAGUGGGUACGGGCAGACUAGAGUGCAGUAGGGGAGACUGGAAUUCCUGGUGUAGCGGUGGAAUGCGCAGAUAUCAGGAGGAACACCGAUGGCGAAGGCAGGUCUCUGGGCUGUUACUGACGCUGAGGAGCGAAAGCAUGGGGAGCGAACAGGAUUAGAUACCCUGGUAGUCCAUGCCGUAAACGUUGGGCACUAGGUGUGGGGGACAUUCCACGUUUUCCGCGCCGUAGCUAACGCAUUAAGUGCCCCGCCUGGGGAGUACGGCCGCAAGGCUAAAACUCAAAGGAAUUGACGGGGGCCCGCACAAGCGGCGGAGCAUGCGGAUUAAUUCGAUGCAACGCGAAGAACCUUACCAAGGCUUGACAUAUACCGGAUCGUUCCAGAGAUGGUUCUUCCCCUUUGGGGUCGGUAUACAGGUGGUGCAUGGUUGUCGUCAGCUCGUGUCGUGAGAUGUUGGGUUAAGUCCCGCAACGAGCGCAACCCUCGUUCCAUGUUGCCAGCACGUGAUGGUGGGGACUCAUGGGAGACUGCCGGGGUCAACUCGGAGGAAGGUGGGGAUGACGUCAAAUCAUCAUGCCCCUUAUGUCUUGGGCUUCACGCAUGCUACAAUGGCCGGUACAAAGGGUUGCGAUACUGUGAGGUGGAGCUAAUCCCAAAAAGCCGGUCUCAGUUCGGAUUGAGGUCUGCAACUCGACCUCAUGAAGUAGGAGUC